UACGAGGGGGGCGAGCGUGUUCGGAAUUAUUGGGCGUAAAGGGUGCGUAGGCGGUUCGGUAAGUUUCGUGUGAAAUCUUCGGGCUCAACUCGAAGCCUGCACGAGAUACUGCCGGGCUUGAGUGUGGGAGAGGUGAGUGGAAUUUCCGGUGUAGCGGUGAAAUGCGUAGAUAUCGGAAAGGAACACCUGUGGCGAAAGCGGCUCACUGGACCACAACUGACGCUGAGGCACGAAAGCUAGGGGAGCAAACAGG
Molecule: ribosomal RNA, 253 nt
Filed under: uncultured bacterium
Lineage: Bacteria
Description: partial 16S ribosomal RNA
Rfam family: Bacterial small subunit ribosomal RNA
Source: RNAcentral